Molecule: ribosomal RNA, 253 nt
Filed under: uncultured bacterium
Lineage: Bacteria
Description: partial 16S ribosomal RNA
Rfam family: Bacterial small subunit ribosomal RNA
Source: RNAcentral
GACAGAGGGUGCAAACGUUGUUCGGAAUUACUGGGCGUAAAGCGUGUGUAGGCGGCCGCGCAAGUCGGAUGUGAAAUCCCCGGGCUCAACCCGGGAAGGGCACCCGAAACUGCACGGCUUGAGUACCGGAGAGGUUGGUGGAAUUCUCGGUGUAGAGGUGAAAUUCGUAGAUAUUGGGAAGAACACCGGUGGCGAAGGCGGCGACCUGGUCCGAUACUGACGCUGAGGCGCGAAAGCGUGGGGAGCAAACAGG